Molecule: small nucleolar RNA, 103 nt
Organism: Myotis lucifugus (little brown bat)
Lineage: Eukaryota; Metazoa; Chordata; Mammalia; Chiroptera; Vespertilionidae
Source: Ensembl
UAUCGACACUGUCUGACACAAUUUGAGCUUGCUACAGCAACAAAGUCUAACCUAUUCCGGUGCUCUCUUCUAUGAGACAAGCCAUUAUAUAGACUUAGACAGU